AAAUUGAAGAGUUUGAUCAUGGCUCAGAUUGAACGCUGGCGGCAGGCCUAACACAUGCAAGUCGAACGGUAACAGGAAGCAGCUUGCUGCUUCGCUGACGAGUGGCGGACGGGUGAGUAAUGUCUGGGAAACUGCCUGAUGGAGGGGGAUAACUACUGGAAACGGUAGCUAAUACCGCAUAACGUCGCAAGACCAAAGAGGGGGACCUUCGGGCCUCUUGCCAUCGGAUGUGCCCAGAUGGGAUUAGCUUGUUGGUGGGGUAACGGCUCACCAAGGCGACGAUCCCUAGCUGGUCUGAGAGGAUGACCAGCCACACUGGAACUGAGACACGGUCCAGACUCCUACGGGAGGCAGCAGUGGGGAA
RNAcentral lists this ribosomal RNA (364 nucleotides) under Escherichia coli. RNAcentral describes it as "bacterial SSU rRNA". It matches the Rfam family "Bacterial small subunit ribosomal RNA", at positions 1 to 361 of the family's 1533-position model. The record is from RNAcentral. Lineage: Bacteria; Pseudomonadati; Pseudomonadota; Gammaproteobacteria; Enterobacterales; Enterobacteriaceae.